AUGUCCCACCAGCGCCCAUGCACGUUACAAGUUUGGGGAGCAUUUUAUAACUGCACUUUAAUCUUCUGCCUACAGCGAAUGUCUUCUGGUAAAGGUUUGGCAGGUGAUGAUCAUUUUCGUAGAAAAAUCUUCAACCAGAGAACCACCAAACCUCUCCACCUGAGAAAGCUUAGAAAGGCCCAUUACGCUACAGUCUCUAGGCUCCCAGAACCCCAAACGUCCAAGAGUAAGGAGACUCAUCCAGGGAACACAUGUGUAAUGCCCCGCCUCGGAAGUGGAAAUGGCAGGUGUAAGCUGCCCAUCAGCGGGGUCCUGUACACAGGGCAGAAGUGUCCGCAGGAAACGCGGCGCCAGCGACCCCCGCCCGAGACGAACCAAGGCCAGCCUCUUCCUCUGAUUCUGGCCCGGGCCUGCCCCCCCCGGGAGUUCACAACCCGGCAAACGCAGGUCCUACCUGAGCUCUGCCCCCAGCUACAGGGCUGUGGGGGGAGGCGGGAGGAGGCGUGGCCUUCCAGCUCGCCAGCCGAACUCCCUCGUGCGGUUGUUACGACUUUCCCUCUCCGGAUCCGCGCCCCGAACAAGUUCCACUUGCACUUCCGGGGUCCGCAGGCGAUUGAAACGUCAUUGCGCACACGUCGGCGGCGGCCGCGACAAGACGGAAGGAGGCGGGGCGUGGUCGCUGGGUCGGUUGUUGUGGCGGUUUCCUGGAAUAAGAAUUCAUUGGAAGAAAGCAUUACUGUGUGGAAGUUUGAAAGCCGUUAUCAGUAUUCUCUGCCGAUAGCAAAGGCUCUCUAGUCGGCAACUAUCAGAGCAAAUUCUGUCUCUCCACUCUGUGGUUCUAGGCCCACUGUAGCCACCAGGGAACAGUUCAACUGAAAUGACCCAUCAACUCCAUUCCUGUUGUUAUUCUUAAAACUUCCUGGCACAGCAUCAGAUACCUGCAUGAAGGAAAAGCUUCUUCAGCCUUCCCUCUCUAUUUGGCUUCAAGGUAACCAAUUCAGCUUAUAAAUUUUAUUGCCUAAGGUGAAACAUCCUGAGCCUGUGUACCUCUUAACUGUACCAAUGCUUACCAGGUUAGAGUUAAAAACAGUAUACAUCACAACACAAUUCAUAUGUGCAGUAACUUUAUUUUCUAUAAAUGAUCUCAUCUUGUUCUAUAGCUCUUAAUUUUGCUAAGGUAAAUUUUACCAGGUAAAGUUAACCUUUUCCAAUUAAAAUUGUUUCUCUGUUAUAUGUUUACUCAAUCCAAUGAAUAAACUUUCCAUCAGGAAUAUAAAUCAUUUGACAUUUGGCCCCCUUUCUACCUCUUAAUUCUUGAGAUAGUGUUGGGUGUAGGGGAAACUUAUGUGUCCUUAUGGAUGUGGGGCAAGAAGCCUCUGUGCCUAUGCUGGGUUCUUGUUAGAACCCAAAAGACAUUGAGGUAAAAAAAAAAAGUCAUUGAGGUGACUUUUCUCCUCUCCUGUUACUGGGAAUCCUACAGUAGGGUACAUUGAGGUAUGGGCUGGUCUGUCUCAUCUGGUAUUUUGGCCAUUAUCUUAGUGCUCCUCACUACUCUCCAGUAGCACAGCCAUUUGCUUCUAGUUAUGAGGGACCUUCAAUCUGUGGUCUUUGUCUCAUGACACCAAUCCUGGGACUAAAACACUCAUUGAUGGAAUGUUUCCAACAAUACAUCUCAAUUGUAUUCAAAGUGCAUUAUGGUUCUUAGAUUAAUUCUUUAAGAAUAUUAAAUAUUGCCCACUACUACUCAUACCAAACAGUGUCAACAAAAGAUCGUAAAUUCCAAGCAUGAGAGAAUUUGUUUGCCAAAAUAGAGAACUUAUAUUCUUAUAGACAUACACACACAAAAAAAUCAUGGCCUUUUACCUUAACAUCAUACACAAAAAGUUCAAAAUGGGUCAUAGACCUAAAUAUAAAUGGUAAAGUAAUAAAGCUUCUAGGAGAAAACAGGGGAAUAACUUCAUGUUCUUGGGAAAGGCAAAAAUUUCGUAAACAGGGUAGAAAAAAAAAAUGAACCAUAAAAGAAAAGAUUGGUGGGCUUCCCUGGUGGCGCAGUGGUUGAGAGUCCGCCUGCCGAUGCAGGGGACACAGGUUUGUGCCCCGGUCCAAGAAGGUCCCACAUGCCGCAGAGCGGCUGGGCCCGUGAGCCAUGGCCACUGAGCCUGCACGUCCAGAGCCUGUGCUCCGCAACGGGAGAGGCCACAACAGUGAGAGGACCGCGUACCAAAAAAAAAAAAAAAAAAAAGAAAGAAAAGAUUGGUAAGUUGGACCACACAAAAAAAUUGUCUUUCCUAGUGUGGAAACACUGCCUUAUGUGCAGGGCAAAGGUGAUCCGGGCUCCAGUAUUUUCAAUGCACCACACCUAAGAUAGAGCCUCCAUUCCAUUAGUUGUGUGGGGGCGUGCUGGAAGAGUCCUCACCUCUUGUUUCCCUUGCCAAGGACUCAGCCUCUGCACUAGGUGGUUGACGAUGGGAUGAAAAAUGUUGAAUGUUGCUCCUCACACAUGUAGAAGGUUCUCAGAUUGGGAAUUUGGGAGAGAGGGAACCCCAUGUUAUUGGCUGCAGCCCUCCAGAAUGGAGCCUCUGCCUUGCUUGAAGCAGAGAGGGAGAGAGCAGUGUUAGUUUAAAUACCACACACUCUAGCCCUUUUUUUACCAAAUUUUCAUAGAUUUUCUGGAAUAGUUGUUUCUUGAUGUGCUCUUUGCCUUCUGAACCAUUUUCAGAGCCUUUAAAUGGUGUUUGUUUGUUCAUUUGUUCUUUUAACUUUUCAUUUCGGGAGCAGGUCAGUAGACUUUUUUACACUGUCAUGCUGGAAGUCAGUACAGGGGUGCAAUUUUGAACAUAUAGAUUCUCAAUUCAUUUCUAAUCUAUUUAUUUUACUUUUGAG
Molecule: long non-coding RNA, 2883 nt
Organism: Delphinapterus leucas (beluga whale)
Lineage: Eukaryota; Metazoa; Chordata; Mammalia; Artiodactyla; Monodontidae
Source: Ensembl